Molecule: long non-coding RNA, 259 nt
Filed under: Mytilus galloprovincialis (Mediterranean mussel)
Lineage: Eukaryota; Metazoa; Mollusca; Bivalvia; Mytilida; Mytilidae
Source: RNAcentral
GUGGAGCACUUGGAAGACCCAGCAAUAUACCGUUGUUUUUAAGGACACUUAUGUAGUUUAGGUAUCCAAUACAGUGAUGGAAGAUCCAGUUCUUCAUCUUUGGUUGAAAUUCCAAAGGAACACAGAACAGACCUAUAAUUAUCCAGGAUUUCCUCUUUGGUAAGUGUCGUGAGGGUAUAUGUUGAGUUUCCAAGUGAAUUGUCAAUACAUAAUUCGUUUAUCAAGCAGUUAAUGUAAUAAGUUUUACACACAAAAACGA